AGCAGCCGCGGUAAUUCCAGCUCCAAUAGCGUAUAUUAAAGUUGUUGCAGUUAAAAAGCUCGUAGUUGAAUUUCGGGAUCAAUAUGUCGGUCGUGCCUUCGGUACGUACUGGUAUCAUUGGUCUCUCCUUUCUGACGAACCAUGAUGUCAUUAAUUUGGUGUUAUGGGGAGUUAGGACUGUUACUUUAGAAAAAAUUAGAGUAGUUUAAAGCAAGCUAACGCUUGAAUACAUUAGCAUGGAAUAAUGAAAUAGGACGUUCGAUCCUAUUUUGUUGGUUUCUAGGAUUGACGUAAUGAUUAAUAGGGAUAGUUGGGGGC
This 318-nucleotide ribosomal RNA is filed under the name uncultured Glomus. RNAcentral's name for it is "SSU rRNA". It matches the Rfam family "Eukaryotic small subunit ribosomal RNA", at positions 569 to 889 of the family's 1831-position model. Lineage: Eukaryota; Fungi; Glomeromycota; Glomeromycetes; Glomerales; Glomeraceae. The record is from RNAcentral.